GACCUCGGAUCAGGUAGGACUACCCGCUGAACUUAAGCAUAUCAAUAA
This 48-nucleotide ribosomal RNA is filed under the name Cordyceps javanica. RNAcentral's name for it is "partial 28S ribosomal RNA". Lineage: Eukaryota; Fungi; Ascomycota; Sordariomycetes; Hypocreales; Cordycipitaceae. The record is from RNAcentral. RNAcentral also lists the same sequence under 8 other names.